Long non-coding RNA from Octopus sinensis (East Asian common octopus), 196 nucleotides. RefSeq lists it as uncharacterized. The transcript has 2 exons. Lineage: Eukaryota; Metazoa; Mollusca; Cephalopoda; Octopoda; Octopodidae. The record is from RefSeq and is a predicted model, not a curated record.
UGUCUUUGAAAAUAGUUUUUAUCUGCAGGAGUGAUCAAAUGGGCUUAGAAAUUCUACCAUCUGCCAAUAAUUUUUAUAACCUAACUCAAUCAGUUGUAAAGAAUAUUAAGAAGACAAAAGAAAAAAACCAAAACAGAAUACAUCAAAAGAGAGAACAUGGUUCGUUCUUCAAUUACUAAGAAAGGUAUAAAAAAAA